CCCUUAGAUGUUCUGGGCUGCACGCGCGCUACACUGAUGCGCUCAACGAGUUUUAACCUUGCCUGGAAAGGUUGGGUAAUCUUUUUAAAACGCAUCGUGAUGGGGAUAGAUUAUUGCAAUUAUUAAUCUUCAACGAGGAAUUCCUAGUAAGCGCGAGUCAUCAGCUCGUGCUGAAUACGUCCCUGCCCUUUGUACACACCGCCCGUCGCUCCUACCGAUCGAAGAGUUAGGUGAAUUGUUUUGAUCGAUAAGAUUUGACUAUGGUCAACUCUCGUUGUGAAAUUCUGUGAAUCUGACUGUUUAGAGGAAGGAAAAGUCGUAACA
RNAcentral lists this ribosomal RNA (324 nucleotides) under uncultured eukaryote. RNAcentral's name for it is "partial 18S ribosomal RNA". It matches the Rfam family "Eukaryotic small subunit ribosomal RNA", at positions 1470 to 1796 of the family's 1831-position model. The record is from RNAcentral.